Molecule: ribosomal RNA, 762 nt
Filed under: uncultured Lysobacteraceae bacterium
Lineage: Bacteria; Pseudomonadati; Pseudomonadota; Gammaproteobacteria; Lysobacterales; Lysobacteraceae
Description: bacterial SSU rRNA
Rfam family: Bacterial small subunit ribosomal RNA
Source: RNAcentral
AUUGAACGCUGGCGGCAUGCCUAACACAUGCAAGUCGAACGGCAGCACAGUAGAGCUUGCUCUAUGGGUGGCGAGUGGCGGACGGGUGAGUAAUGCAUCGGGAUCUACCCAAACGUGGGGGAUAACGUAGGGAAACUUACGCUAAUACCGCAUACGUCUUACGAGAGAAAGCAGGGGACCUUCGGGCCUUGCGCGGUUGGACGAACCGAUGUGCGAUUAGCUAGUUGGUAGGGUAAUGGCCUACCAAGGCGACGAUCGCUAGCUGGUCUGAGAGGAUGAUCAGCCACACUGGAACUGAGACACGGUCCAGACUCCUACGGGAGGCAGCAGUGGGGAAUAUUGGACAAUGGGCGCAAGCCUGAUCCAGCAAUGCCGCGUGUGUGAAGAAGGCCUUCGGGUUGUAAAGCACUUUUAUCAGGAGCGAAAUACUACCGGCUAAUAUCCGGUGGGGCUGACGGUACCUGAGGAAUAAGCACCGGCUAACUUCGUGCCAGCAGCCGCGGUAAUACGAAGGGUGCAAGCGUUAAUCGGAAUUACUGGGCGUAAAGCGUGCGUAGGCGGUUAUUUAAGUCUGUUGUGAAAUCCCCGGGCUCAACCUGGGAAUGGCAAUGGAUACUGGAUAGCUAGAGUGUGAUAGAGGAUGGUGGAAUUCCCGGGUGUAGCGGUGAAAUGCGUAGAGAUCGGGAGGAACAUCAGUGGCGAAGUCGGCCAUCUGGAUCAACACUGACUCUUGAGGCAUGAAAAGCGUGGGGAGCAAACAGG